UGUGUGGGACCAUGGAUCAUUGGGGGCGAUUUCAAUCUAAUUUUCAGGGAGGAAGACAAGAACAAUUCCAAUAUUAACAGGGCUAUGCUGGGGGACUUCCAUAGGCUUAUUAAUUCCUUGGAUCUGAAAGAGAUUCAUUUGAAGGGAAGGAGGUAUACUUGGUCCAACCAGAGGGAUGCUCCAACUCUUGUUAAGCUGGACCAUGUUUUUUGCACUAGCUGUUGGGAAGAUCUAUUCCCGGACGCUUCUCUUCAUAGUAAUGCUACCACAUCAUUUUUUUCGAAAACGCAGGAGAGCUGUGUAUCAUUAUAUUAAGAGGAAAAAGGUGAGGAUAGGAAACCUCAUACAAACCAAACAAACCCACACACCCACACGCACUCUAGGCUACCACAUCUUCAGAUCAUUGUCCUUUGACCCUCAAUGUCAGAGUUGGCUGCAUGGGGAAAAGACGGUUUCACUUUGAGAGUUUUUGGCCCAAAAUUCCUGGUUUUCUGGAGGUGGUGGGUGCGUCUUGGAGUAUGCCAGUUAGGAGCUCCUGCCCGUUGGAGCAAGUGUCAUUGAAGCUUAAAAGGUUAGCUCGUGUUUUGCAGUCCUAGGGGGCAUAAAGAAGUGGGUAAUGUGAGGACGCAGCUGGGGCUUGUCAGAGAAGUGUUGCAUAGGCUGGAAAUGGCGCAGGAUAUCAGAAUUUUGUCCAGUGGGGAAGUUUGGUUGCUAAAUUUGUUGAAGCAACGAUGCCUUAGCCUUGCGUCUCUUGAAAGGACUGUUGCUCGGUUGAGAUCGCGGAUCCACUAUCUAAAGGAGGGUGAUGCCAACACUAAGUUCAUUCAUUUACAGGCAUGUUAUCGGAAGAAAAAUAAUUUCAUUUCCAAACUUGAGGAAGAUGGAAGAAUGGCUACCAAUCAUGAUGACAUGCAGCAAAUUUUUGAAGAAUAUUUUUGUAAUCUGCUGGGGGCUGAUUUGCAGAGACAUUUUACUAUUGGUCUGAGUAAUUGUCACAGGGCUACGAUGGAUCUAAGUGCUUUGGAGCAGCCUUUUUCGGAAAAAGAGGUUAUGGACACCAUUGCUUGUCUCCCUUCUGACAAGGCUCCUGGGCCUGAUGGUUUUACAGGAAAAUUUUACAAGACAUGUUGGGACAUCAUUAAAGUCGACAUAAUGGCUGCUCUUAACUCGCUUUACCAUGGUAAUGCCUAUAAGCUUGAUUUGCUGAACUCAGCGUAUCUCAUUCUUCUCCCGAAGAGAGAGGAUGCUUCUUCAGCUGGAGAUUUUCGUCCAAUUAGCUUGAUUCAUAGUUUUGCUAAGUUGGUCACUAAGAUCCUCGCUAAUCGAUUGGGGCCAUAUCUUCAAGACCUGGUGGCAGCUAACCAGAGUGCUUUGAUUAGAGGAAGGUCAAUCCAAGACGAUUUCAUGCUAGUGCAACAAUCAAUUAAGUUCCUUCAUAAGAGGAGGAUCUCUAGUUUACUGCUGAAACUGGAUAUUUCCAAGGCUUUCGACUCAGUCUUGUGGGCGUUUUUGUUAGAAAUUUUGACACAUUUGGGCUUUGGACCUGUUUGGCGUAAUCUGAUCUCCAACUUGUUAUUCACUUCUUCUACUCAGGUGGUCCUGAAUGGCUCGCCUGGUAAUCAUAAUUUUCAUCGGAGAGGUCUUCGCCAGGGAGAUCCUCUUUAUCCCAUGUUAUUUGUGUUGGUUAUGGAUGUUCUUAGCAGCAUGUUCAGGGCUGCUGAAAAUAGAGGUUUGUUGCAGAGCCUUGGGGGAGCUGAUAUCCGUAGUAGAGUCUCCAUUUAUGCGAAUGAUGUGGUUCUUUUCAUAAAGCCAAUUGAAGCAGAUCUGAAUUGUGCUAAGAUGAUACUAAACUGUUUUGGUUCAGCUUCCGGUCUGGUAACCAAUAUGCUCAAGAGAAGUGCUAUUCCAAUUAGAUGUGAUGUUCAGCAGGUGCUUGCUGGAUGCAGUGUGUUGCAAUGCAGUCCCGCUUCGUUUCCUUGCAGGUAUCUGGGGCUGCCCAUCUCUGAUAAAAAAUUGAGGAAGUGUGACCUUAGGUUAUGGAUUGAGAAGAUUGCAGACCGUUUGCCUAACUGGAAGGCUCGACUGCUCAACUUGGCUGGGCGGACUGAGCUGGUGAAGUUUGUUCUAUCGGCCAUUCCGACCUAUCUUCUUAUUGCAAUCAAUGUCUCUCAGUGGGUUAUUAAAUCAAUUGAUAAAAUUCGGCGAUGAUUUCUUUGGAGAGGAAGAAAGGAGGUUAAUGGUGAUAGCUGUCUUGUUCCAUGGGAAGUUGUCAUGAGGCCCUUGAAGCUUGGCGGGCUUGGGAUCCCUAACCUUAAAUUCAAAAGCUGGGCAUGCAGGCAAAAUGGUUAUGGUUGGAAAAGACGGAUCUGAGCAGACCCUGGCGUGGGCUGUCCCUCCCAGUGCAGCGAUAGGUUAGACAGUUUUUUGACUUGUCGGUUUUUACCAUUUUAGGGAAUGGGACUACUACUCUCUUCUGGUCGGAUAGAUGGAUUCAUGGGAAUACUAUCCAGGACAUUGCCCCUGAGGUGGUGGGUAUGGUUGGCCGCAAGGCGUAUUCUUCCAGAACGGUGGCACAGGCUCUGGAUAAUUGGCAUUGGGUCAGUGACAUUCGUGGUCCUCUUUCCUUGAGAGGGUUGCAGCAAUAUCUGUUGUUAUGGGAUACUGUGGGAGAAGUUUUGCUUUCUCAAGAUGCUGACAAACAUGUUUGGAUGCACUCUUCUUCUGGGAUGUUCUCCUCGAAGUCUUGCUAUAAGGCUUUUUUCAUAGGAUCCAUUUCAUUUGAGCCAUGAAAACGUUUGUGGAAAUCCUGGGCUCCCCCAAAAUGCAAGUUCUUCCUCUGGUUGGUGAUAAGGAAUAAGUGUUGGACUGCUGAUAGACUAAGAAGGAGAGGGUUGCAACACCCGGUUGUUUGUGUUCUAUGUGACCAAGAGCAGGAAACAGUGCAACAUCUUCUGUGUACUUGCAGUUUUGCCAGGCAGUUUUGGCAUGCUAUCCUUUUUCCCUUGAGUCUAGGGGCUCUUACUCCUGCUGUUGAUGAAAUCUCCUUUGCUGAUUGGUGGAGGAAGGUGAUUAAGAAGGUGCACAAAAGCAGAAAGAAAGGCUUCAACAGUCUCAUUAUUUUGGGGUCAUGGUGCUUAUGGCUGACUAGAAACAGAGUUGUUUUUGAUGGUGUGAACCCUUCUCUAAGCUCUGUAAAAAAAUUGUUUAUGAAUGAGUUAAGCUGCUGGGAUAGGGCUGGGGCUAAGCAGCUAGCAAGUUUUGGUCUUCCUGCUAUUAUGAGUAGGGUCUAGAUUGUGGUCAAGUGUUCGGUUUGCCCUAUGGGCAUUGUACUUUGGUCCUCUUGGACCUUUUUUCCUCUCUUAAUAUAAUGAUGUGCAGUCCUCCUACGCGUUCGAGAGAAAAAAAGAUUUUUUGUGAACUUUGUUAGUUCAUGUGCACCAAAGACUCAUGUGCACCGAAUAUAUUCCCGUCUGUGAAUCCCCAGACCCCAGAUACCGAAACUAUUAUUUUACAGCCUGCAUGCGAUGUAUUUUAAAUAACUGUACCAGAAAAGUUUACUUACUGCAGCCUUUUGGCCCGUUAAUCUCCUAACGGAUGGAGCCCUUGCAACCGAUGAUGCGGCAGCAGCAGCAGCUACUCGGAUCCUGUAAGGGAGUGAGAUUCAUCAUGGUGGCGGCUUUAUGGAACUGAAACACCAGCUCUACAGAAGAUGGCUACCAAGAUCCUAUCUUUAACAGCAAGUUCUUCUGGUUGUGAAAGAAAUUGGAGUGGGUUUGAUGGGGUGCACACUAAGAAGAGAAAUAGGCUUACUACAGACUGCCUCAACAAGUUGGUCUACAUUCAGUUCAACAACAGGCUAAUUAAUAAGAGAGCAAAGAUCAAGUCCAAGAAAAUUACUGAUGUUCUCUUGUCUAGUGGUACAACUGAAGCUCAAGGUUUCCUCCAAGAGAAUGGAGAUGAUUGUGCAUUAGUUUCCUUUAGAGAUGAGGAAGAAGUCAUGGAAGGUACAGGGAUACUUUGGUCUGUGCUUGGAGAUGCAGUGGGAGCAGAAGAACAACUAGAGCUGCGUAGAAGUGCAAGGGUAAGAGAGCUCAAUGAAGAAGAGUUUGAGUCCGAAGAAGAAGAGUUUGAUGAAGAUGAGGAUGAGUAUGAGAUGGAUGAAACCUAAGUGUGAGCCAGCUUCAUGUCAUGUUUUAGCUUUUAUUAUGCAUCCAUGUAUCUUUAACUUGUGAACUUAGAAAUCCUGUUGUGCGCUUGUGUUUUGUGUUGUGGCUUGUGAGAACUGAA
Molecule: RNA transcript, 4287 nt
Organism: Zea mays
Lineage: Eukaryota; Viridiplantae; Streptophyta; Magnoliopsida; Poales; Poaceae
Exons: 3
Source: RefSeq, a predicted model, not a curated record